This is a long non-coding RNA of Gallus gallus (chicken), 904 nucleotides long. NCBI's taxonomy places the organism in Eukaryota, Metazoa, Chordata, Aves, Galliformes, Phasianidae. The record is from Ensembl.
GGAGAAAGAUGACAUGGAAGCCUUGAUAGCAUUAAAGCAAUCCCAAAAGGGAUUAGGAUCAGAUCUGAGGACAACAUUUCUGCUUCAAUCAAGCUGGACUGUUCCACUGCUCUUGUUUUGCAUACAAGAAUUCAAGAUGUGAAGCCAGUGUGGCAGAAGCAGCUCUGCAAUAAACACUGAAGAGGAUGACUUCACUGAGCAUUUGGCUUUUUCUUCUUUGAGAUAACAUGUGGUUAUAGAAAUAAAUCAGAGCUAGAAGGACGGAUCACUUCCCAGCCGUGCCUUUCACUUAGCAAAAUGGACUUAUCCUGCAAUGGGACAUUUUCCAUCAAAGCCAGUUGUCUGUAUGCAUCUGCACUGAGCGUGUACUCUCUUUGAAUCUGAGUCCACAGGCAGAAGUGGACACCAUGUCAGAGGAUCCUAAAUAACGUUUGCUAUCUCCUUUAUUUGAAAGUGAACUUCCUGUUAGCAGCGCUCCGACUCAAAGGCAUGCAACCACUAACACGCUUCAAAGUGAGUGACUGCCUUUCUCCAGCCCUGGCAGCCCAGAAUGAAGAAGACACCUUGCCUCAGGGGACGCUCGUGGCUCUGAGUGAUGGGCGUCAGUGCAGCAAUUAAUCUGCCAGCCGCUGGGAUAGCUGUGCUGGAAUUCAGGACAAACACAUCAACACUCAUUCUCAAUGGGGAUGGGCGUUCCAUAGGGUACAACGGCCCUUUAUUUCUGCUUGUGGUGUCUGCAAAGGGCAUGGGUCAAGACCUUGGGUCUGAGGAGAGGUGGCCUAGAUCAGUCAAGAGAGAUGUAAGCAGCAUCAGGAACCAUCUGCAAACAGCCGACAGCAGGCUUCCUUUCUCAUAAAAUAUUCAAAAUCCACAGGAUCGUCACUGAUGGCUGGAUUAGCGUAGG